This 430-nucleotide ribosomal RNA is filed under the name uncultured bacterium. RNAcentral describes it as "bacterial SSU rRNA". It matches the Rfam family "Bacterial small subunit ribosomal RNA", at positions 355 to 776 of the family's 1533-position model. The record is from RNAcentral.
UAGGGAAUUUUCCGCAAUGGGCGAAAGCCUGACGGAGCGACGCCGCGUGAGCGAAGAAGGCCUUCGGGUUGUAAAGCUCUUUUGCAGGGGGCGACGGGCCAACGUGCGAAUAGUGCGUUGGUUUGACAGUACUCUGCGAAUAAGCUCCGGCUAACUCUGUGCCAGCAGCCGCGGUAAGACAGAGGGAGCAAGCGUUGUCCGGAAUCAUUGGGUGUAAAGGGCGCGCAAGUGGUUCGGUAAGUCUCGUGUGAAAUCGACAGGCUCAACCUGUCCAUUGCGCGGGAAACUGCCGUUCUGGAGUUCGGGAGAGGUGAGUGGAAUUCCUGGUGUAACGGUGAAAUGUGUAGAUAUCAGGAGGAACACCUGUGGCGAAGGCGACUCACUGGCCCGAUACUGACACCCAGGCGCGAAAGCAAGGGGAGCAAACGGG